UUAGUUCCACAACUUAUAUGAGUGUGACCAGUUCUUUUGUUGUUUUGAGCUGUUCUUGUAGUCUUGGAAAAUCUAAAGUAAUGUCAAGCAUUGAAAUUUUAUAAUUGUAUUUACCUUCAUUUUUAUCUACUUGGAAGUACGAGUAAGCAUGGCAUUGGUUAUCAGUGAGCUUAUCUUGUAACAAUCUAGUUAUUAUCUAAAUACAGUGGGGAAAUCAUCACCUAGUCAUCAUCAUAUUAUACUAGUGGGGAUUUAUGGCCUCUUAAGAACUCUCUCUUCUCUCUCUCUCUCNNNNNNNNNUCUCUCUCUCUCUCNNNNNNNNNNNNNNNNNNNNUAAACUAACUAGGGGUAAAGGUAAACGUAACUACUACCUAACGUUACUACUAUUACUACUUAUUAUUACUAGUGGGUAGUUAGUUGUCCGUCUUACGUAACUACUCUCUUCUCUCUCUCUCUCUCUCUCUCUCUCUCUCUAUCUCUCUCUCUCUCUCUCACUACACACAUACACACAAAUGCCCAUAUAUAUAAAUCUAUGAGUGUGUGGGUGCAGACUACACGUACACGUAUUUGCAUGCAUUGGAUGAGUUGUUUUUGUCUUCCGGCUACAAUGACAACACCUUGUACAAAGAAUAAUAAGUAUUUGCUUAUUGCAAUCCUUUAUUCUGAAUCACUGCAAGCCCCCUCUCUUCUUGGAGUGCCCCUAUGAGAUCUUUCCUAUUUGGGUUAAGCAUAGCAGACUACUCAUGGUAUUGUGUACAAAUUUUUAAUGGGCAUACACAGAACACAAGGAGAGAGUGAAAAAGGAAAACCAUAUGCCAGAUGGAGUAAUAAUGUCCCAAGAGUUCUCUCUCUGUCUCUGUCUCUGUCUCUGUCUCUCUCUCUGUUUAUCUAAAAGUUUGACCAAAAUGAUAACUUCCACACACACCUGGAACCAUGCCUUAUAUUUGAUAUUCUGAUAGAUCUGAGGCAUAUUUUGAGAACUCAUUGGACGAAACAAGGGCAAAAAACCAAUAUGUGCAGUGUGAAAUGUAAGGAAAGAUUAGACUAACCCUUAGUUAGGCAAAAGUUCAAAUUUUUAGAAAAAUGAAUGCUUCCCUUGAGAAUGGAGAACAAAUGAAGAAGCACUAAUACAAUAAUGGUCAAUAUUGGAUGGUGCAUCUCAAUACAAC
RNAcentral lists this long non-coding RNA (1169 nucleotides) under Amborella trichopoda. RNAcentral's name for it is "long non-coding RNA (ATRI_LNC003563)". Lineage: Eukaryota; Viridiplantae; Streptophyta; Magnoliopsida; Amborellales; Amborellaceae. The record is from RNAcentral.